UACGAAGGGGGCUAGCGUUGCUCGGAAUUACUGGGCGUAAAGGGCGCGUAGGCGGCCGAUCAAGUCAGGCGUGAAAUUCCUGGGCUUAACCUGGGGGCUGCGCUUGAGACUGAUUGGCUAGAGGAUGGAAGAGGCUCGUGGAAUUCCCAGUGUAGAGGUGAAAUUCGUAGAUAUUGGGAAGAACACCGGUGGCGAAGGCGGCGAGCUGGUCCAUUACUGACGCUGAGGCGCGACAGCGUGGGGAGCAAACAGG
This 253-nucleotide ribosomal RNA is filed under the name uncultured bacterium. Its description in RNAcentral is "partial 16S ribosomal RNA". It matches the Rfam family "Bacterial small subunit ribosomal RNA", at positions 524 to 776 of the family's 1533-position model. The record is from RNAcentral.